GAACGCACGCCAAGUGAGUGGCGCCGGGUGAGUACGCGUGGGCACUGCCCUGGAGUGGGGGAUAACCCGGUCGAAAGCCGGGCUAAUACCGCAUACGUCCUGAUGGAGAAAGAUUAUCGCUCUAGGAGGGGCCCGCGUCGGAUAAGCUAGUUGGUGAGGUAACGGCUCACCAAUGCGACGAUCCGUAUCUGGUCUGAUAGGAUGAUCAGCCUCUCUGGGACUGAUACACGGCCCAUACUCCUACUGGAUGCAGCUGUGGGGAAUAUUGGACAAUGGGGGCAACCCUGAUCCAGCAAUGCCGCGUGAGUGAUGAAUGCCUUAGGGUUGUAAAGCUCUUUCGGCGGGGACGAUGAUGACUGUACCCGUAUAAGAAGCCCCGGCUAACUUCGUGCCAGCAGCCGCGGUAAU
This 408-nucleotide ribosomal RNA is filed under the name uncultured bacterium. RNAcentral describes it as "bacterial SSU rRNA". It matches the Rfam family "Bacterial small subunit ribosomal RNA", at positions 78 to 524 of the family's 1533-position model. The record is from RNAcentral.